UUUGAGUCAAUCGGUUUUCGUAACCAAUUUUAAUCGUUCGUUUUAUUUAUUUAUUUAUAAUUAAUAUUUUUUAUUGUUAUUAUAUGAUAAAACAUAAAAAAUAUUUUAUGCAUGACUUAUGUUUUUAAAAUUUUUUCAAAGAAAUUAAAUAAGACGGACAAUUAAAAUUGAACACGAAAACUUAUAGAUGCGUUUAAA
This is a non-coding RNA of Oryza meridionalis, 198 nucleotides long. NCBI's taxonomy places the organism in Eukaryota, Viridiplantae, Streptophyta, Magnoliopsida, Poales, Poaceae. The record is from Rfam.